Molecule: long non-coding RNA, 4463 nt
Filed under: Malus domestica (apple)
Lineage: Eukaryota; Viridiplantae; Streptophyta; Magnoliopsida; Rosales; Rosaceae
Description: long non-coding RNA (MDOM_LNC000100)
Source: RNAcentral
UUUAAAAAUUUAAAAGACUGUAUCUUUUGGGGACGGGUCGUUACAUUACAUGUAUCUCUAUAACUUGCUUUAUACCUCUCAUUGUAUUCAUCAAUUCAAGUAAAAUCUUGGAAAUGACAUAGGCAUUUUUUUUUUUCGUUUGACCCUUUCGAGCCGACCCUUGUUAUUAUUUUCCCUAGUUAGCCCUGUUGAACCUUUAUGUGAGCCUUUUAUUUAUUUAUUUAUUGUUUUUUUUUUUAUUUCUUUAACCUAAAUUUUCCCUACCUAGCCUUGUAAAGAAUUUCCUACCCGUCUAAAAGCUUGUAGAGUAAUUUGUUUCUUAAGAGGAGAGAAUGCCAAGUCUUGGGCUUAAGCACUUAUAAUAGACAAUAAAAAAAUGUUGACAAGAAAAAAAAAGUUGAUGAGAAAAAAAAAAUGAAAAGAAAAAAAAAACUGUUGUACGCUGUAUCUAAAAAAGAAAAAGUGAGUUAAUAUAUAUAUAAACUAGCACACAAAUUAAACUCUAUUAAAAUAGUUGUAGUACGCGUAAGUAGGGAUCGUUAUAGGCUGGGGAUCAACUAGGGAUGCUAAUCAACACAAACUGCACUUAAAAAUUGAAAAUUAGACUCAAACAACUCAAAACAAGCUAAACUAACUCAAAACACACAAACUAAGUUGAAUUGACUCAAAACAAUAACUAGAUAGCAAUUUGGAAGAAAAUUGAACUCAAAAGAUUCAAAACAAUGUAAAACAGCCAAUCUAGACAGAUUCUAACCUAAGAACACAAAAUAGAAAGGGGGUUUGUUUUGGAUGGAUUUAAGACUAAAAACAAACAGAUUUAAAGACUCAAAAUACUUUGAACGAAAUUGGUGAAUUUAGGAUGAAUAACUAGUUAGAGGGACGUUCUCCACACAUGACACACAUGCAUACAAAUCGAUUUCCAGUUAUUCUUUCUAUAAACCAUGAAUGACAAUGCCCCAAAUUAAUCAUGAGAAGCACAAAUUAACUUUCAGAUUUUUCUAAAUUCAUUGAAUUGGACUUAGCGACGCAACCAAAUUAUUCUUGUCAAGUUCCCUACAUGAAUUGCAUAAUAGAGAUACAUAUCAAAGAUCAUUAAGUUUUGUGAAAAUCGUAAGCAUUGACAAGGCAUUCGUAACUAUGAACUGCAUGAUACUCCUGCCAAGAAUUCACUUAACACAAUCAUGACUAGUGACUUUUACUACUUGUGAAUAUAAGUUCAUAACGAUUAGGUGAAAUUCCCUUAUAUCCUAGCAUCACAUUCAUGCAUGCAAACUAAGUAUGCAUCCUCAAUCAACACACAAGAAUAAGUUAUCAAUAAAAAAGAUAAGUAAAUUGCAUUCACAAUUUAUGAAAUCAUAAUUGGAUGUAAUCAAUUCAUAUCACAUAUAUGUUCAUGGUUUCGAAUUCUCCUCUAACUAAAACAAAAUUAGUUCCACAUGGUCAUCAUAACUGAAAACCAAAUUAAACCAAACAUUGGACUAAAACUAAGGAUAGAAAGAACCCAGAAAUACUCCAGCACUCCAAUGGCAGAUUGGGCACAAUCCUUGGGUGCUAGGGCAUGACACAAGCUCUCCUUCUCCUUGCAAGCACGUCACAAGCCUCCAAACUCCUUCAGAAACCUGCGGCACUCAUGUAUUUUUCUCUCUGCUUUCUCUAUUGUGUGUGGUGCCAAAAUAAGGCCAGAAAAUAUGUAUUUAUAGGCUAGGGUUUCAGCACAAAAGUUGUGGAGGAGAAGGAUUACACAAUCCUAAGGAAAAAAGGACUAGGAAAUUCGCACAAAGCUUCUAGAAAGGGAUAUUUGGCAGAUUUCUAGAAGCUAAAGGAUAAAAGGUGCGGCACCACUUAGGAUUAGGAAUAGGGCUUCUAGAAAGGGGUAUUUAGGUGAUUUACUAUGCAAUUGAUCCCCCUUUGCAACUGGAAUUAAGGUAGGAAAAGAUUAGGUUAGGACAAGAUAAGAUAAGGUUAGUUUGGAUAAGAUAAGGUUGGAUAAUGUUUUGGAUAAUGUUUCUUCCUUUUAGCUGAUUCCUUAUCUUCUUUGUCUUGACUUUAUUUUCUUCAUCUCUUCAACAUAUUCCUAGCCUCUAGAACUUCAAAAACGUCCUUCCACCUUGCUUCAUACAUGUGCUAUCCAUUCUUGGCCCAAAACUGCUCCAAAAUGCUCCAAAUUGCACUUUCUUGCCAACUUUGUCAUUUGGACCUACAAACACACAAAAAUAGCUUAAAAUACUCUAAUAAGUAGAAACUAACUAUGAAAAUGCAAGAAAAGAAGCUAACUAAGUCGCAUAAAUAUGCUCCUAUCAAAUUGCCCCACACUUAGCUUUUGCUAGUCCUCAAGCAAAACAAAACAAACAAAACAUAACCUAAACCUUCCAAAAUUUGCCUCAGGGAUUUCCAAUGAAACAUGACACAUUAAAAAUCACUACUCCCACAGAUUUUAGCUAUCCUUACCCUCGAGCUUGUACUUAAUCGCAGUCACCAUGCACUAGCUCGCAUUUAAUCAAUUAAAACAAUGUUUUGAAUGUAGUAACAUGCCUUAGAGAAUUCCCUCAAUUCCUCACUGGAUAUACUCUCUAUUCUCACUCAGUUUUUCUGACUACACUCCCUAUACUAGGAAUACGUGAGAAGAUUGAUGUAUACAUGUAGACUAGCCACUCACAUACGUUAUAAUCAAAGAAGGCACUUUUUGGAAUUAUUAAUGCAUGUAUAUAUAUGAUCUCAUGAACAGAAUGCCACUACUUAGAAGCGAGAACUAGGGAUUCCAUAUGCUCGUACCAAUUUCAAACUCCACAUAUUGAAACACAUAACAACCAAGAUAAAGUCAAAGGGUUGUAAUGGGGCUAAGGGUAUUGGCUAACAAAGAAAGGUCAAGGAUAAACAAAGGUUCUUAAAGCCAUAGUAAGCAAAAUAAUGAAUCUGACACUUAGAAUUCACUUUUGAAUGCAGCAACUAACUUUAAACACCCAUGGGAGAUUCACAAAACACUUAGGGCCAGAUUCAAUCUUUUGGACCCUUUCUUCAACAACCAAUACUUGUGAGCUCAUUCUCACUUAUUUUGAACUCUUUUUCUUUCUUUUCUUAACUUCUUCUUCUUUUUUUUCGUUGGAAAUAACCUUCCCCCACACUUGUUUUUUGCAAAAUGUUGAUCAAAAGGAAUUCCCUCUAAGUCAUGCUCCACUAUACUUUAAGAACAAGGGUAUGUAUAAUCCUAUUCUAGGCUAGGUAAGGAUAAUGUGGCUAACAAAGAAAAUAGGCUAAUUAAGGCUCAACGGGGUUAAACCUACAAUGCAUAUGCAAGGGAUUAAGCCUUUUUGGCUCUGGUGGUAACUAAACAACUUCGUCUUAUUAUAUGUUAUGCACUCAAUUUUAAGCUUUGAAUGAAAUGGGCAUGAGUUCUAGUAUUUGGAACUAAAAUGAUGAAAACGCAUUCUAAGUAGCAACCAAGCAAAGAAAUAAUGAGAUCAUGCAAUGACUUUAGAAAAAUGGAAUUCACAGAUUAAUAACUCACCAAACAAAGUAUAGGCUCAAGUCUCUCAGGGUUGUAGUGUUAGUUUGAGUUCCUUCCUUCAAGCAUGUUACAAAAACUGAUUUUUUUCCUUUAUGGUUAUAUGUAAAUUCGUUAAUGACAACUACAACUAAGCAUUAACCAAAGAGCAUAUCAAACUUCCACCCAUGUUUGUAACUUUCUUUAACAAUCACGCAAUUAAAAACCAAAUCCUCAUCAUUGUGUUGGAAGUUACCGUAAGACCAAAACACACAAAAAUGACUCUUUUUGGGUUUUUCAAAACUUUUUCUAAUGUUUUUUUUCAAAUUUUCGUAUUUUUCUUUCAAAACACAUUAAAACAGUUCAAAACACACUAAAAACACUUAAAAACAGUGAGAAACAACUCUAGAGGUGCUAGGUGGUAAAAUCCCACGAAAUAAUGAAAAACACUUUGUUUACCCCACCACACUUAAACCAAACAUUGUCCUCAAUGUUUCAAACAUAGACUAACACGCAAGCAAGCAAACAACACAACUAACAAACAUGACAAUUAUGGCAAAGUAAAAGCAAUAAAGAGUAGAGUUUAAGAAUGCAAAUCUGGUUAUGGAGCCGGAGAUUCUUAGGCCUUCUUUAUUUGAACGCAUGGGUUGCCUCUCAAGAAGCGCUUGCUUUAACGUCUUCCAGCCGGACGGUACCUCCAUUUAAGCUUCACGAGAGCCCACAGCAUGGAGGGGUACAUCCUCCACGACAUGCUCCUUAAAACUUCCAUGCAUUGGAUCUAUGAACGGAAGGGGAUAGUGAUCCUUCCUGAUUGUGGCAUUUAGCUUUGUAAAGUCAAUGUAAACGCUCCCACCAUCUUGGAUUCGAUUGGGCACCUAAACCAAAGAAGGUAACAACCUAUUAGUUGAAAUGGGAAUUGGAAUUGGAAUACGUGGCUUACCAAUAUAUUAUGACGAAGGCUCAAAAGUAGCAGCACUGUCAA